Molecule: unclassified non-coding RNA, 213 nt
Filed under: fungal sp.
Lineage: Eukaryota; Fungi
Description: partial contains small subunit ribosomal RNA, internal transcribed spacer 1, and 5.8S ribosomal RNA
Rfam family: Eukaryotic small subunit ribosomal RNA (bases 1-46)
Source: RNAcentral
AAGUCGUAACAAGGUCUCCGUUGGUGAACCAGCGGAGGGAUCAUUACAGAGUUGCAAAACUCCCAACCCUUUGUGAAUCAACUGGACAGUUGCCUCGGCGGGAGGCCCUUCAGGGGGCUGCCCGCCGGAGGACCACUAAACUCUUGUAUAUUUGGCCUCUCUGAGUAAUUCUAAAAUGAAUCAAAACUUUCAACAACGGAUCUCUUGGUUCUG